CCUACGGGUGGCAGCAGUGGGGAAUAGUGCACAAUGGGGGAAACCCUGAUGCAGCGACGCCGCGUGAGUGAAGAAGUAUUUCGGUAUGUAAAGCUCUGUCAGCAGGGAAGAAAAUGACGGUACCUGUCCAAGAAGCCCCGGGUAACCACGUGCAAGCAGCCGCGGUAAUACGUAGGGGGCAAGGGUUAUCCGGAUUUCCUGGGUGGAAGGGGAGCGUAGACGGCAGGGCAAGUCUGGAGUGAAAGGCGGGGGCUCAACCCCCGGAUUGCUCUGGAAACUGCCAGGCUGGAGUGCAGGAGAUGUAAGUGGAAUUCCUAGUGUAGCGGUGAAAUGCGUAGAUAUUAGGAGGAACACCAGUGGCGAAGGCGGCUUACUGGACUGUAACUGACGUUGAGGCUCGAAAGCGUGGGGAGCAAACAGGAUUAGAUACCCUAGUAGUC
Molecule: ribosomal RNA, 440 nt
Filed under: uncultured bacterium
Lineage: Bacteria
Description: partial 16S ribosomal RNA
Rfam family: Bacterial small subunit ribosomal RNA
Source: RNAcentral